This 461-nucleotide unclassified non-coding RNA is filed under the name Hevea brasiliensis (rubber tree). The record is from RNAcentral. Lineage: Eukaryota; Viridiplantae; Streptophyta; Magnoliopsida; Malpighiales; Euphorbiaceae.
CCCCAGCAAAACCUUUAUGAACAGAAUGUGGACUGAUGACAAUCAAAUAUGCACCACAUUCUUGAACAACUGCACGUACCAAACUUGUCUUUCCAGUUCCUGGUGGACCAUACAGAAGCAAACCUCUUGGCCAUUUAAUACCCAGCCUCUUGGCUUCAUAAGGAUAAAGAAGAGGGAAAGUGAUGAGUUCUCUUAGAGCUUCAAGGGCCACUUUAUUUCCAGCAAUUGCUUCUUCAGCCCUCCACUCCUUUAUCUUAUUUUGAUUUAUGUUGUUGCUGUUGCUGCUGCUGUGUGUUUCCAUCUACACUAAACAGCGACACGAUUGGGAAAGUGGAUUCAGUUCAAUUACGACAACCACGGUGAUGGCUUCAAAGUGAUGAACGACGACGACGGCGACGCCAAGGCAGAAAGCGAGGGUUGGAACGGCUACGGUGAACAGCAGUGAAGGAAAACGGCGGCAG